RNAcentral lists this long non-coding RNA (239 nucleotides) under Hordeum vulgare. Its description in RNAcentral is "long non-coding RNA (HVUL_LNC017509)". The record is from RNAcentral. Lineage: Eukaryota; Viridiplantae; Streptophyta; Magnoliopsida; Poales; Poaceae.
UGGAGAGGAGAAAGCUUAAGUAGAGUGGCUCGGGCAUUUCAUCGAACACGUCAUGUGCAUGAACUAGAGUGGCAAGAGCAUGGCAUGGUCACACUUCAACAACCAAAAAACAGGAGAUAUGGCGGGCAGGGGCGAGGGUUUAUAUAGGCAAAACUUUAGUCCCGGUUCUUGCCACGCCCCGGGACUAAAGGCCCCUGCUUCCCGCCUUCUUGUCCGCCGAAAAAGGGCCUUUAGUCCCG